GGGGGGGGGGGGGGGCGGGGCGGGGGGGGGCGGAGCGAGCGGGCGGACGAGGAGCUGGCUACGCUGCUGUUCGCGGCUGGCGUGUGCGUAACACUUGAAUCCCCUCCCUCUAAGCCUGUGCUAACUUCGGGCAACCGUAGCUAAUACCUGAUAAUACUUUGAACCGCAUGUUUCAAAUGUUCACUACACUCUUGCUUUCACUUAUCGAUAGAUCCCCGCUGCAUUAGCUAGUUUGAAAGGUCACGGCCUACCAAGGCAACGAUGCAUAGCCGACCUGAGAGGGUGAUAGGCGACACUGGAACUGAGCCACGGUCCAGACUCCUACGGGAGGCAGCAGUAGGGAAUGUUCCGCAAUGGGCGAAAGCCUGACGGAGCAAAGCCGCGUGAGUGAUGAAGGUCUUCGGAUCGGAAAACUAUGUUAUUAGGGAAGAACAUAUGUGUAAGUAACUGUGCACAUCUUGACGGUACCUAAUCAGAAAGCCACGGCUAACUACGUG
This 497-nucleotide ribosomal RNA is filed under the name uncultured bacterium. RNAcentral's name for it is "partial 16S ribosomal RNA". It matches the Rfam family "Bacterial small subunit ribosomal RNA", at positions 27 to 507 of the family's 1533-position model. The record is from RNAcentral.